This 454-nucleotide ribosomal RNA is filed under the name uncultured bacterium. RNAcentral describes it as "partial 16S ribosomal RNA". It matches the Rfam family "Bacterial small subunit ribosomal RNA", at positions 341 to 792 of the family's 1533-position model. The record is from RNAcentral.
ACGGAAGGCAGCAGUGAGGAAUAUUGGUCAAUGGACGGAAGUCUGAACUAGCCAUGCCGCGUGCAGGAAUAAGGCCCUGUGGGUCGUAAACUGCUUUUGUGGUGGAGCAAUAAGGGCUACGCGUAGCCCGAUGAGAGUACAUCACGAAUAAGCAUCGGCUAACUCCGUGCCAGCAGCCGCGGUAAUACGGAGGAUGCAAGCGUUAUCCGGAUUUAUUGGGUUUAAAGGGUGCGUAGGCUGUGCUGCAAGUCAGGGGUGAAAUACCCGAGCUUAACUCGGGAACUGCCUUUGAUACUGCAGUGCUUGAAUACUGUUGCCGUGGGAGGAAUGAGUAGUGUAGCGGUGAAAUGCAUAGAUAUUACUCAGAACACCGAUUGCGAAGGCAUCUCACGAAGCAGUCAUUGACGCUGAGGCACGAAAGCGUGGGGAUCAAACAGGAUUAGAUACCCUGGUA